This 460-nucleotide ribosomal RNA is filed under the name uncultured bacterium. RNAcentral's name for it is "partial 16S ribosomal RNA". It matches the Rfam family "Bacterial small subunit ribosomal RNA", at positions 338 to 795 of the family's 1533-position model. The record is from RNAcentral.
CCUACGGGAGGCUGCAGUGAGGAAUAUUGGUCAAUGGACGAGAGUCUGAACCAGCCAAGUAGCGUGAAGGAUGACUGCCCUAUGGGUUGUAAACUUCUUUUAUAAAGGAAUAAAACGAGGCACGUGUGCCUUUUUGCAUGUACUUUAUGAAUAAGGAUCGGCUAACUCCGUGCCAGCAGCCGCGGUAAUACGGAGGAUCCGAGCGUUAUCCGGAUUUAUUGGGUUUGAAGGGAGCGUAGAUGGUUUGUUAAGUCAGUUGUGAAAGUUUGCGGCGUAACCGUAAAAUUGCAAUUGAUACUGGCAGUCUAGAGUACAGGUGAGGUAGGCGGAAUUCGUGGUGUAGCGGUGAAAUGCUUAGAUAUCACGAAGAACCCCGAUUGCGAAGGCAGCUUACUAAGCUGUGACUGACAUUGAUGCUCGAAAGUGUGGGUAUCAAACAGGAUUAGAUACCCUGGUAGUC